This is a long non-coding RNA of Cyprinus carpio (common carp), 945 nucleotides long. RefSeq lists it as uncharacterized. The transcript has 8 exons. The record is from RefSeq and is a predicted model, not a curated record. Lineage: Eukaryota; Metazoa; Chordata; Actinopteri; Cypriniformes; Cyprinidae.
AUGCACUCAGCCAAUAUUUGCAGAGGCCGGCACCUGCUAGAGAAAGGACACCUGAACCUUCAUGUUCUCCUCUCUCUGAACUUUCUGCAGGAGUAGGGACAUCCAGUAGUGGUACUCCAGGGACCAGUGACACACAGCCUGCAUCAAGUGAAGGUGAAGGGACACCCUGGACCACAUCAAGCACUCAGGGCACCAGUGAAACACAGGCCACUGAGACCAGGGAUACUCAGCCUGAAGGAAGUGAAAGGGGCCACAUCUAGCAUUCCAGGCCCCAGUGAAACACAGACCACUGAGACCAGGGAUACUCAGCCUGAAGCAAGCAGCACCCCCUCAUGUGUUAAAGCUGCCAGCACGACUCCAUUCAUGAUUCACCAGCACAGAGAUGAGCAGGAGAACGGAGGUUCUGGCCAGGACAGAAGCGAAGCGCUGCAGAGGUGGAGAUGCCGGUGUCCAAAGCCAAUUAGGACACUCCAGUCAGCGCAGAGUCUGUGACGGAUGAGAGCACCACUGUAUGAUGUUUGGGACCCACAUGCAAGUGAAACAGGAAGGUGGUGUUUGGAGAACCAAUGGAGUUUUCAGAAGGAACGUUCAUGCUGAUCUGUGGCAGGACUUCUUCCACACGCUGCUGAACGUGCCGGACUGCAGCUCUUUGCCGUGUCUACACAGCCUUCGCCUGCGACUCGACGCCGUCCUGCAGCAGAAUUACAGCAGCAAGCGGUACAGUCUGAAGAACAGACUGCUGGUGCAGAUCCUGGAGGCUCGCUCCUCACGCAGAUGAUAUUCAAACACUGCCACUUUCUGUAGGUGAGGCACUGACACACACAGCUUUCUGUUCUCAUUGCUACUUUCAUUUUACUCUGACGGUUUUAAAUUGUAAAAAAACAAAUUAAGCAUUUUGUAUAUUUCAAUAAAUCUUGGUUCACAAACUCCCUUGUGUUUUUGCAG